UUCUUGAGUACAGUGGAAGUGGGCGGAAUGUGUUAUGUAGCGGUGAAAUGCAUAGAUAUAACACAGAACACCGAUUGCGAAGGCAGCUCACUAUACUGUAACUGACGCUGAGGCACGAAAGCGUGGGGAGCGAACAGGAUUAGAUACCCUGGUAGUCCACGCCGUAAACGAUGAUUACUCGAUGUUGGCGAUACACUGUCAGCGUCUAAGCGAAAGUGUUAAGUAAUCCACCUGGGGAGUACGGUCGCAAGAUUGAAACUCAAAGGAAUUGACGGGGGCCCGCACAAGCGGAGGAGCAUGUGGUUUAAUUCGAUGAUACGCGAGGAACCUUACCUGGGCUUAAAUGUAGAAUGAUCGUCUGGGAAACCAGUCUUUUCUUCGGAACAAUCUACAAGGUGCUGCAUGGUUGUCGUCAGCUCGUGCCGUGAGGUGUCGGGUUAAGUCCCUUAACGAGCGCAACCCCUAUCUCUUGUUGCUAACAGGUAAUGCUGAGGACUCUGGAGAGACUGCCUACGCAAGUAGUGAGGAAGGUGGGGAUGACGUCAAAUCAGCACGGCCCUUAUGUCCAGGGCUACACACGUGCUACAAUGGUCAGUACAGAGGGCUGCUACUUGGUGACAAGAUGCUAAUCUCGAAAACUGAUCUCAGUUCGGAUCGAAGUCUGCAACUCGACUUCGUGAAGCUGGAUUCGCUAGUAAUCGCAUAUCAGCCAUGAUGCGGUGAAUACGUUCCCGGGCCUUGUACACACCGCCCGUCAAGCCACGGAAGUUGGGGGUGCCUGA
RNAcentral lists this ribosomal RNA (782 nucleotides) under uncultured bacterium. RNAcentral describes it as "bacterial SSU rRNA". It matches the Rfam family "Bacterial small subunit ribosomal RNA", at positions 639 to 1424 of the family's 1533-position model. The record is from RNAcentral.